GAUGAACGCUAGCGGCAGGCCUAACACAUGCAAGUCGAGGGGUAGCAGGAUUAAGCUUGCUUACUUGCUGACGACCGGCGCACGGGUGCGUAACGCGUAUGUAACCUACCUUAUACUGGGGUAUAGCCCAGAGAAAUUCGGAUUAAUCCCCCAUAGUACUAAUGAAUCGCAUGGUUUCUUAGUUAAAGCAUUGCGGUAUAAGAUGGGCAUGCGUCCUAUUAGCUAGAGGGUGAGGUAACGGCUCACCAUGGCUACGAUAGGUAGGGGGCCUGAGAGGGUGGUCCCCCACACUGGUACUGAGACACGGACCAGACUCCUACGGGAGGCAGCAGUGAGGAAUAUUGGUCAAUGGGCGCAAGCCUGAACCAGCCAUGCCGCGUGCAGGAAGAAUGCCCUAUGGGUUGUAAACUGCUUUUAUUUGGGAAUAAACCUCUUUACGUGUAGAGAGCUGAAGGUACCAAAUGAAUAAGCACCGGCUAACUCCGUGCCAGCCGCCGCCGUAA
This 503-nucleotide ribosomal RNA is filed under the name uncultured bacterium. Its description in RNAcentral is "partial 16S ribosomal RNA". It matches the Rfam family "Bacterial small subunit ribosomal RNA", at positions 28 to 523 of the family's 1533-position model. The record is from RNAcentral.